UCGGACGGGCUUGAGGGGCAACUCUCAGGUCAGUGGCGAACGGGUGCGUAACACGUGAGCAAUUUGCCUUCAGGUGGGGGAUAGCCGGCCCAACGGCCGGGUAAUACCGCAUAUCGCCCCGGGGUCUCAUGACUCUGGGGUCAAAGCAGCCGCAAGGUUGCGCCGGAAGAGGAGCUCGCGGCCUAUCAGCUAGUUGGCGAGGUAACGGCUCACCAAGGCUACGACGGGUAGCUGGUCUGAGAGGAUGGCCAGCCACAUUGGGACUGAGAAACGGCCCAGACUCCUACGGGAGGCAGCAGUGGGGAAUAUUGCGCAAUGGCCGAAAGGCUGACGCAGCGACGCCGCGUGUGGGAUGAAGGCCUUCGGGUUGUAAACCACUGUCGGGGGGGGCGAAUACUUGGGCCUCGUAAGGGGAUCCAGGGGUGACGGUACCCCCAAAGGAAGCACCGGCUAACUCCGUGCCAGCAGCCGCGGUAAUACGGAGGGUGCGAGCGUUGUCCGGAAUCACUGGGCGUAAAGGGCGCGUAGGCGGUUUGGUAAGUCACUUGUGAAAUCCCGGUGCUCAACGCCGGGGCUGCAGGUGAGACUGUCAGACUAGAGCUCGGUAGAGGCAAGUGGAAUUCCCGGUGUAGCGGUGGAAUGCGUAGAUAUCGGGAAGAACACCGGUGGCGAAGGCGGCUUGCUGGGCCGAUGCUGACGCUGAGGCGCGAAAGCGUGGGGAGCAAACAGGAUUAGAUACCCUGGUAGUCCACGCUGUAAACGAUGGGUA
Molecule: ribosomal RNA, 769 nt
Filed under: uncultured microorganism
Description: bacterial SSU rRNA
Rfam family: Bacterial small subunit ribosomal RNA
Source: RNAcentral